CACGNUAAUACCGCAUACGCCCUACGGGGAAAGCGGGGGAUUUUCAGACCUCGCGCUAUGAGAUGAGCCUGCGUUAGAUUAGCUAGUUGGUGGGGUAAAGGCCUACCAAGGCGACGAUCUAUAGUUGUCUGAGAGGACGAUCAGCCACACUGGGACUGAGACACGGCCCAGACUCCUACGGGAGGCAGCAGUGGGGAAUAUUGGACAAUGGGCGGAAGCCUGAUCCAGCAAUACCGCGUGUGUGAAGAAGGCCUUAGGGUUGUAAAGCACUUUCAAUUGGGAGGAAAACCUACCGGUCAAUACCCGGUAGCUUGACAUUACCUUUAGAAGAAGCACCGGCUAACUCCGUGCCAGCAGCCGCGGUAAUACGGAGGGUGCGAGCGUUAAUCGGAAUUACUGGGCGUAAAGCGUGCGUAGGCGGUUCGUUAAGUCAGAUGUGAAAGCCCUGGGCUCAACCUGGGAACGGCAUUUGAAACUGGCGGACUAGAGUUUAGUAGAGGGGAGUGGAAUUUCAGGUGUAGCGGUGAAAUGCGUAGAUAUCUGAAGGAACACCAGUGGCGAAGGCGACUCCCUGG
RNAcentral lists this ribosomal RNA (575 nucleotides) under uncultured Gammaproteobacteria bacterium. Its description in RNAcentral is "bacterial SSU rRNA". It matches the Rfam family "Bacterial small subunit ribosomal RNA", at positions 159 to 732 of the family's 1533-position model. Lineage: Bacteria; Pseudomonadati; Pseudomonadota; Gammaproteobacteria. The record is from RNAcentral.